Molecule: long non-coding RNA, 1418 nt
Filed under: Equus caballus (horse)
Lineage: Eukaryota; Metazoa; Chordata; Mammalia; Perissodactyla; Equidae
Description: lncRNA (ENSECAG00000060158.1)
Source: RNAcentral
UUUCACAGUCCUAGAAAGCUCCAUCUUUUAAUUAUAAAUCUCUAGACACAGCCUAGAAUGGAUUCUUUAUAAAAUCAAACAUUAAGAUAGAGUCAAUAUUAUGCCUGUGACCUAACAUAUUCCUCUUGGUUAGAUUCAGGGGGCAAAUACGUUCAUGUCCCCGUUAAUACAUGAUUCUUACCAUUUCUCAAGCUUUAACACAAGGAUAUGAAAUCACAGCACUUUAGCAUCAUGGAAGGGGUCAUUGACUGGGGUAUCAGCACCAAUUAGGAGGCUGUCAUAACAAUUUGAGUGGGCAGUGGUGCAAGGUAGACAGUGAGAAGUAGUUGGAUCGAGAAUAAUUUCUGAAAGAAGACUCAGUAGGUUUUGCUGGAGGAUUGCGUGUGAGUGUGAGGGCGGAGUCAGAGGUGACUCCAAGGUUUUCCGUCUGAGCAGACGGAAGGAUGGACUCGCCAUUGACUGCCAUAAGGAGGGUUGGAAGGACAGCAAGCUUUAGGGGAGAACUCAAGAGUGUGAUUCUGAACUGCUAAGUUUGAGAUGCCUUUGAGACUUCCAAGGGAAGAUGCCAAGGAGUCAGCUGGAGUAAGAGUCUGUGUGUAGGUGAGAGGUCUGGGCUGGACAGAGAAAUCUGCAAGUCAUUAGUGCACACGUGGUAUUCAAAGACUUGGAAGUGAGGAAAGAUGAGAAGAGGACUGAGGACAGAGAACCGUGAGACGUGCCGAUGCACAGAACCAGCAAAGGAAACUGUGAAGAAGUGGCCUGAGACGGAGGGGGAGAGCCAGGGGAGCGGGUGUCCCAGAAAACAAAAGAAUGCUGUUCCAGAGGAAAGGAGCAAUUGCCUCUGUCAACUGCUCCUAAAAAAUUGAGAAAUGGUCAUGAGUGAUGUAGGUAAGAAAAGUUUGCAUAGAAUAGUGGGGACCCAAACCCUGAGCAGAAUGGGUUGGUUUUAAGAGAGAACAGGUGAAAUUAUUGUUACAUAAUAUAUACCACGAUAUUGCUACAUGGUUAUUCUUACAUAGUAUUAAAGUUAUAUAAGAAAAUUCUUUAUUUUUUACAGACAUGUCCUGAAGUGUUUGAGUGAAAUGUCAUGUUGUCCGGGACUUACUUUAAAAUACUUCAGUGCGGAAAAAAAGAAAUGAAGCAAAUAAGUACCACAUUCAUAACUGUUAACCCUGGGCGAUGUUAUAGUUUUCUCUAUUUUUAUAUAUGAUUGAAAGUAUUCAUAAUAAAAAGUUUUUAAAAACUUAAAGGAUGUGAAUGGGAGGAAAGGAAUUAGAGGCAGCAGAAAUGCACAAAUCUUUUGAGGAGUUCUGCUAUGAAGGAGAUGAAUAAAUGGGCAGUACUUGGAUGGUCUCGAUGGGACAAGUUCCAGGGUGUUUGGGUGCUGCUCUGGGAACAUGGACGAGACGGGCAGGGCG